This 268-nucleotide ribosomal RNA is filed under the name uncultured soil bacterium. Its description in RNAcentral is "partial 16S ribosomal RNA". It matches the Rfam family "Bacterial small subunit ribosomal RNA", at positions 26 to 292 of the family's 1533-position model. The record is from RNAcentral.
AGAUUGAACGCUGGCGGCAGGCCUAACACAUGCAAGUCGAGCGGCAGCACGGGUACUUGUACCUGGUGGCGAGCGGCGGACGGGUGAGUAAUGCCUAGGAAUCUGCCUGGUAGUGGGGGAUAACGCUCGGAAACGGACGCUAAUACCGCAUACGUCCUACGGGAGAAAGCAGGGGACCUUCGGGCCUUGCGCUAUCAGAUGAGCCUAGGUCGGAUUAGCUAGUUGGUGGGGUAAUGGCUCGACCAAGGCGACGAUACCGUAACUGGUC